GGGUGGUGAGCAUACUAGGUACAUGCGGCGACCUGUUAAGUCGAGGAUAGGUGGUUCGAAUCCACCACUGCCCGCCA
This 77-nucleotide transfer RNA is filed under the name Serratia phage vB_SmaM-Kamaji. Its description in RNAcentral is "tRNA-Asn". It matches the Rfam family "tRNA". From Rfam's summary of the family: Transfer RNA (tRNA) molecules are approximately 80 nucleotides in length. Their secondary structure includes four short double-helical elements and three loops (D, anti-codon, and T loops). The record is from RNAcentral. Lineage: Duplodnaviria; Heunggongvirae; Uroviricota; Caudoviricetes; Demerecviridae.